RNAcentral lists this ribosomal RNA (253 nucleotides) under uncultured bacterium. Its description in RNAcentral is "partial 16S ribosomal RNA". It matches the Rfam family "Bacterial small subunit ribosomal RNA", at positions 524 to 776 of the family's 1533-position model. The record is from RNAcentral.
UACGUAGGGGGCUAGCGUUGUCCGGAAUCAUUGGGCGUAAAGCGCGUGUAGGCGGCCCGGUAAGUCCGCUGUGAAAGUCGGGGGCUCAACCCUCGGAAGCCGGUGGAUACUGUCGGGCUCGAGUACGGAAGAGGCGAGUGGAAUUCCUGGUGUAGCGGUGAAAUGCGCAGAUAUCAGGAAGAACACCUAUGGCGAAAGCAGCUCUCUGGGACGGUACUGACGCUGAGACGCGAAAGCGUGGGGAGCGAACAGG